UGUAGCGGUGAAAUGCGCAGAGAUCUGGAGGAAUACCGGUGGCGAAGGCGGCGCCCUGGACAAAGACUGACGCUCAGGUGCGAAAGCGUGGGGAGCAAACAGGAUUAGAUACCCUGGUAGUCCACGCCGUAAACGAUGUCGACUUGGAGGUUGUUCCCUUGAGGAGUGGCUUCCGGAGCUAACGCGUUAAGUCGACCGCCUGGGGAGUACGACCGCAAGGUUAAAACUCAAAUGAAUUGACGGGGGCCCGCACAAGCGGUGGAGCAUGUGGUUUAAUUCGAUGCAACGCGAAGAACCUUACCUACUCUUGACAUCCAGAGAACUUAGCAGAGAUGCUUUGGUGCCUUCGGGAACUCUGAGACAGGUGCUGCAUGGCUGUCGUUAGCUCGUGUUGUGAAAUGUUGGGUUAAGUCCCGCAACGAGCGCAACCCUUA
Molecule: ribosomal RNA, 434 nt
Filed under: uncultured bacterium
Lineage: Bacteria
Description: bacterial SSU rRNA
Rfam family: Bacterial small subunit ribosomal RNA
Source: RNAcentral